Molecule: ribosomal RNA, 469 nt
Filed under: uncultured bacterium
Lineage: Bacteria
Description: partial 16S ribosomal RNA
Rfam family: Bacterial small subunit ribosomal RNA
Source: RNAcentral
GAUGAACGCUGGCGGCGUGCUUAACACAUGCAAGUCGAACGGUGAACACGGAGCUUGCUCUGUGGGAUCAGUGGCGAACGGGUGAGUAACACGUGAGCAACCUGCCCCUGACUCUGGGAUAAGCGCUGGAAACGGCGUCUAAUACUGGAUAUGUGACGUGACCGCAUGGUCUGCGUUUGGAAAGAUCUUUCGGUUGGGGAUGGGCUCGCGGCCUAUCAGCUUGUUGGUGAGGUAAUGGCUCACCAAGGCGUCGACGGGUAGCCGGCCUGAGAGGGUGACCGGCGACACUGGGAUUGAGACACGGCCCAGACUCCUACGGGAGGCAGCAGUGGAGAAUAUUGCACAAUGGGCGAAAGCCUGAUGCAGCAACGCCGCGUGAGGGAUGACGGCCUUCGAGUUGUAAACCUUUUUUAGCAGGGAAGAAGCGAAAGUGACGGUACCUGCAGAAAAAGCGCCGGCUAACUACGUG